RNAcentral lists this long non-coding RNA (755 nucleotides) under Homo sapiens (human). RNAcentral describes it as "novel transcript". Lineage: Eukaryota; Metazoa; Chordata; Mammalia; Primates; Hominidae. The record is from RNAcentral.
AGACCCGGUGUAGCCACUCGGGCCAGGCUGCUCUGCGAAGCUGCUGUUUCCUCUGCUGCCGAAGCGGUUUCUUCCACCCAGGGCGGUGCGGUGGUUUGGCGACUUAGAGGUUUGGAGGUCCCUUCUUCCUAAGAGUUAACUGUCCUGAAAAAGCCCAAAACAAGAGCGGCAUGAUCUUAAAUCCUGGGGAGAGGACACAGGCUGCCUGGAGGGGCCGAGGGCACACCUAGAGCUGGGGUUUUGUUCUCACUCUGUUGCCCAGGCUGCAGCACAGUGGUGCGAUCUCGGCUCACUGCAGCCUCAACCUCGCUGGGCUCAGAUGAUCCUCCCACCUUAGCCUCCUGAGAAGCUGGGACUACAGGCACGUGCCACCACAUCUGGCUAAUUUUUUGUAAUUUGUAGAGACAGGGUUUCACCAUGUUGUCCAGGCUGGUCUUGAACUCCUGGGCUCAAGCAGUCUGCCUGCCCUGGCCCCCCAAAGUGCUGGGAUUACAGGCGUGCGCCACCGCGCCUGACCAAAGAGCUGGGUUUUGAUUCCACAUGUGGAGGAGGUGCCUGCCUAGGGCUGACUGGGAAAAGUGUCUAGGGCUGAGCUCACAAAGUGAUGAGCUCCCCGUUGCCAGAGGGCUUCAAGCUGAGGCUGAGUGAGACGAAGCACGAUGGAGUGAACGGUAUCCCUGUGUUGGAAGGAGGGUGGGUUAUGUGAAAAGUGUCCCUUGUGGAAAAGAGGAAAAUAGCCCAGCCCUGGGCUCCAC